This 265-nucleotide long non-coding RNA is filed under the name Elaeis guineensis (African oil palm). RNAcentral describes it as "long non-coding RNA (EGUI_LNC071317)". The record is from RNAcentral. Lineage: Eukaryota; Viridiplantae; Streptophyta; Magnoliopsida; Arecales; Arecaceae.
GAUGGCAGGUCAUGGAUAAAUUGUCAAACCUCAAUAUCGGUCAUAUGAUAGAUUCAAUUAGCUUAUGUUCAUAUAUGAUUCUAUAGAAACUCUUUUCGAUCAAUCACAUUGCUAUGGUCAUAGACUUAAGGACUCAGCCUCUUAAAUCCCAUAGGACUACUUCCUUCUACUAGAAUCGAUAGAUCUCAUCUUGAUGCACACCCUACUCCUACAGUGGACCAACUAUCAUCAACAUCCACUACAAGGGAUCUUUGAGACCCCUGUU